RNAcentral lists this ribosomal RNA (380 nucleotides) under uncultured bacterium. RNAcentral's name for it is "bacterial SSU rRNA". It matches the Rfam family "Bacterial small subunit ribosomal RNA", at positions 30 to 412 of the family's 1533-position model. The record is from RNAcentral.
AUUGAACGCUGGCGGCAUGCCUUACACACGCAAGUCGAACGGCAGCGGACCUUCGGGUGCCGGCGAGUGGCGAACGGGUGAGUAAUAUAUCGGAACGUACCUUUCAGUGGGGGAUAACGUAGCGAAAGUUACGCUAAUACCGCAUAUUCUGUGAGCAGGAAAGCAGGGGAUCGCAAGACCUUGCGCUGAUUGAGCGGCCGAUAUCAGAUUAGCUAGUUGGUGAGGUAAAGGCUCACCAAGGCGACGAUCUGUAGCGGGUCUGAGAGGAUGAUCCGCCACACUGGAACUGAGACACGGUCCAGACUCCUACGGGAGGCAGCAGUGGGGAAUUUUGGACAAUGGGCGCAAGCCUGAUCCAGCCAUGCCGCGUGAGUGAAGAA